Long non-coding RNA from Apodemus sylvaticus (European woodmouse), 400 nucleotides. RefSeq lists it as uncharacterized. The transcript has 3 exons. The record is from RefSeq and is a predicted model, not a curated record. NCBI's taxonomy places the organism in Eukaryota, Metazoa, Chordata, Mammalia, Rodentia, Muridae.
GGAGUGGCCACCAAGAGAGCUCAGAGGCCUGUGGACCAGAACGCCAGGCCUAGGAUGGAUGAGGGUGCAGUGCUGCUGACAUAGGCGAGUCACUCAUCCAGAACCUCUGCCCUGCUGCCUUUCACUGGCAAGAAAGCCUGUCACCAGUACUACUGCCACCUGAAGGAACAGAUACUGAGUUCCAGGUUUCUGCACAUAGAGAAGGCCUGCUUUCUCCUGGCUGCCAGUGGGUUACAGGAUGACCUGGGCCACCAAAAGGACUUAGUCCUUAUGAGCAGGUAAAGGAGGAGGACCACCCUACUGUUUUCCUGCGUCUCACUCUGAAUGGAGUGAUCAUCUAUCAGGAGGAAGACUACACUCCACAGUGGCUCUGUGACUUCCCCAGGAUACAUAUUUAAAG